UCUAGCCAAGACAGACUGUUCAGUUUCCACAUGCCAGUUACUUAGACUCCUACCUGACUGUUGAUCAUAUUUGCUUAUUUAGCCCCUUGUAUCCUAUGAUUCUCCAUUGGUGUUCUGUAUUUGUGAACCUUGGGCGUGCUUCCUGUGUCUGGCUCUUGCCUAGUUGUUCCUGGCUGAAAAUUUAACCUUUCUGCCUUAUCUCAGAUGGAUCUGGCCAUUUUUACACAGAAUCACGAGGAUGGCAAAUUCUACAGCUGACAGUCUUCAUUUGGCAUACUGCAUUCAUUUUUGGAAACCACAGUUUAAGAAAGACACUGAAGAGCUGGACAGUGCUAAGAAGAAAGAAAUCAUAAAGGCAAAGGAACUUGGCCAUGACCUCAUAAACUUCAACAGGUCAGAUGGGCAAACCACGGGAAGUCUGGGGGCUGGAGUCCAUGCUGAGGUUUGCCAAAAGCCAGAGGGUGAAGAACAAAAAUACACUACAUUACGUGACCUCCUUGCCCCAGGCCGCCAGUAGCAGAAAUGUGCACUGACCUGCCCAUCAGCAACGCCACACUUGGAAAUGGAUUUGAUGGGGGCAAAUGUUAAGGUGCAGGCUGCAUUAUAUCUGAGGCAACUCUCCCUAUGGACUGAAGUGGCAUAGGGGUGAACGUGCUCCCAGAUAUGUGCAUGCAAA
Molecule: long non-coding RNA, 676 nt
Organism: Vombatus ursinus (common wombat)
Lineage: Eukaryota; Metazoa; Chordata; Mammalia; Diprotodontia; Vombatidae
Exons: 3
Source: RefSeq, a predicted model, not a curated record